AACGAACGCUGGCGGCAGGCCUAACACAUGCAAGUCGAACGAACCUUCGGGUUAGUGGCGCACGGGUGCGUAACACGUGGGAAUAUACAUUUCGGUAAGGAAUAACACAGAGAAAUUUGUGCUAAUACCUUAUAAUGACUCCGGUCCAAAGAUUUAUCGCCGAAGGAUUAGCCCGCGCUAGAUUAGUUUGUUGGUGAGGUAAGAGCUCACCAAGACUACGAUCUAUAGCUGGUCUUAGAGGAUGAUCAGCCACACUGGAACUGAGACACGGUCCAGACUCCUACGGGAGGCAGCAGUGAGGAAUAUUGGACAAUGGGGGCAACCCUGAUCCAGCCAUGCCGCGUGAAUGAAGAAGGCCUUAGGGUUGUAAAAUUCUUUCAGAUGCGAAGAUAAUGACGGUACCAUCAGAAGAAGCUCCGGCUAAAUUCGUGCCAGCAGCCGCGGUAAUGUCAGUG
This 455-nucleotide ribosomal RNA is filed under the name uncultured bacterium. Its description in RNAcentral is "bacterial SSU rRNA". It matches the Rfam family "Bacterial small subunit ribosomal RNA", at positions 29 to 531 of the family's 1533-position model. The record is from RNAcentral.